GUAGCAACAAGAACCUCGCCCCGUCUUCCCAGAUUUCCUUGUGGAUGUGUGGUGCAUGUUGAAGGAGCUAACGUGUUGCCAUCUCAUCAGGAACAGAGUAGCCUCACCCCCACCUCUGGCCCUCCCCACCCUGGCCCGAUACAGCAAGCUACAGAAAAGCUAAAUUUUCUGAAGUUCCUUAAGAAAGUGGGAGGAGAUAGGACUUAAACACAACCGGAUGGGUUGGACUGCGCUGUGGCAGGACCCCUUUUCCCACUGAACCAGAGGGAAAGCAGAAGUGUCAGUAGGCAGCUUAGUAGGUGGGAAUAUGAGGGCGUCUGAGACCGGAGCCUGACGGCUCAGCUCGAUCACAGCACCGGCUUCAUUUUCUCCCUACUGUCUCCCUGGACAGUUUCCUCCACUAUUUAACCCGUUAGUCAUGACACAGAUAGAUAGUCAUGAAAAUCAUAUUGUGUAUUUUUUUGAGCCAGUGUAAAGGAGAAGCGUCAUCCUUUCCCCCUCCCCCACCGAGGCUAGCAGAGUAGUGGUGAAAGAAAAAUAAAUUUCUGGGGAACGGAGCUGAGCUGCGUGGUCUGUCCGUCCCUUCCUGUCUGAGCAAUCUUUCUGGACUCCUAGACUAAUUUUAAAAAUUGCCUGCAGAUUCUUCUGGGCUUUUGCACAAACACAUUGUAUUUGGUGAAUAUGAAUGCCAUCAAGCCUCAUGCAGAUGCGUGCUUGGAAAAAGUUGGACAGUGCAGACGCCCUGAAAUGAUCCCAGGGACCCUCACAAGUCCUCAGACCACAUCUUGAGAGGCACAUACGAUAGUGUUACUUAUACAUUUUUAGGAUACACACAAAAAAUGUAUUUCUCCUCUAAGGUUAAAGUCUACCAGAAGUCCUUUCAAACAAAAACUUAACAUUAGCAACCUCUUCUUUUCCUUCAUCCUGUCAUUUCUACAUUGGAAUUGUCUAAAUUUCUUCAUAUGUUUUCAUAGGAUAUGUUUGCAUUUAGAAAUAAUCAGCAAUUUUGCUCAUUGCUGCUUCUGAGUUCGUUUUUGAAUGCCGAAGACUAUCUGCAAGUAGUUUCUUCUGACAAGCUGCCAAGUGGCAAAGCUAUUGAGUGCAUAAUUAUGUCUGAAAAUAUUUUUGUGUUCUGUUGUCUUCUAAAUUUCUUUCUUUUUCGCUUAUAAAACUAGGUAUAGUUACUAUUUCAUCUGAAUGUAAAGCGAACCCAUGACAAUUUUUAAGAUUUCAGACAAUGCCAGAAAGAGACAAAAUGAAAAAUAAAAACUGCCUCCUUGUCCCCUCUGA
Long non-coding RNA from Neofelis nebulosa (Clouded leopard), 1290 nucleotides. RefSeq lists it as uncharacterized. The transcript has 3 exons. The record is from RefSeq and is a predicted model, not a curated record. Lineage: Eukaryota; Metazoa; Chordata; Mammalia; Carnivora; Felidae.